RNAcentral lists this ribosomal RNA (400 nucleotides) under uncultured bacterium. RNAcentral describes it as "bacterial SSU rRNA". It matches the Rfam family "Bacterial small subunit ribosomal RNA", at positions 355 to 747 of the family's 1533-position model. The record is from RNAcentral.
UGGGGAAUCUUCCGCAAUGGGCGAAAGCCUGACGGAGCAACGCCGCGUGAGUGAUGACGGCCUUCGGGUUGUAAAACUCUGUGAUCCGGGACGAAAAGGCAGAGUGCGAAGAACAAACUGCAUUGACGGUACCGGAAAAGCAAGCCACGGCUAACUACGUGCCAGCAGCCGCGGUAAUACGUAGGUGGCAAGCGUUGUCCGGAAUUAUUGGGCGUAAAGCGCGCGCAGGCGGCUUCCCAAGUCCCUCUUAAAAGUGCGGGGCUUAACCCCGUGAUGGGAAGGAAACUGGGAAGCUGGAGUAUCGGAGAGGAAAGUGGAAUUCCUAGUGUAGCGGUGAAAUGCGUAGAGAUUAGGAAGAACACCGGUGGCGAAGGCGACUUUCUGGACGAAAACUGACGCU